UACGUAGGCAGCGAGCGUUGUUCGGAGUUACUGGGCGUAAAGAGUGCGUAGGCGGUUUUCUAAGUUUGGUGUGAAAUCUCCCGGCUUAACUGGGAGGGUGCGCCGAAGACUGGAAGGCUUGGGUAUGGGAGAGGUAAGCGGAAUUCCUGGUGUAGCGGUGAAAUGCGUAGAUAUCAGGAGGAACACCGGUGGCGAAGGCGGCCCUCUGGACGGAUACUGACGCUGAGGCGCGAAAGCGUGGGGAGCAAACAGG
RNAcentral lists this ribosomal RNA (253 nucleotides) under uncultured bacterium. RNAcentral's name for it is "partial 16S ribosomal RNA". It matches the Rfam family "Bacterial small subunit ribosomal RNA", at positions 524 to 776 of the family's 1533-position model. The record is from RNAcentral.